AUAAACGUUCCACCGGGAACUUGUCGUUUAGGCAAUCAUUAACUUAUCAUUAGGUCAUUGAAGAUAAGUUAAUGAUUGCCUUUUUAUU
This 88-nucleotide non-coding RNA is filed under the name unclassified sequences. The record is from RNAcentral.